GCGGAAUUGGUAGACGCGCUAGCUUCAGGUGUUAGUGUUCUUACGGACGUGGGGGUUCAAGUCCCCCCCCUCGCACCA
Molecule: transfer RNA, 78 nt
Filed under: Escherichia coli
Lineage: Bacteria; Pseudomonadati; Pseudomonadota; Gammaproteobacteria; Enterobacterales; Enterobacteriaceae
Also listed under: 2 other names
Description: tRNA-Leu
Rfam family: tRNA
About the family: Transfer RNA (tRNA) molecules are approximately 80 nucleotides in length. Their secondary structure includes four short double-helical elements and three loops (D, anti-codon, and T loops).
Source: RNAcentral